Molecule: ribosomal RNA, 253 nt
Filed under: uncultured bacterium
Lineage: Bacteria
Description: partial 16S ribosomal RNA
Rfam family: Bacterial small subunit ribosomal RNA
Source: RNAcentral
UACGUAGGGGGCAAGCGUUGUCCGGAAUCAUUGGGCGUAAAGAGCGUGUAGGCGGUUCGGUAAGUCGGCUGUGAAAGUCCAGGGCUCAACCCUGGGAUGCCGGUCGAUACUGCCGGACUAGAGUUCGGAAGAGGCGAGUGGAAUUCCCGGUGUAGCGGUGAAAUGCGCAGAUAUCGGGAGGAACACCUAUGGCGAAGGCAGCUCGCUGGGACGUUACUGACGCCGAGACGCGAAAGCGUGGGGAGCAAACAGG